UAAAAUUUCACCAAAAAAAAAACAGAAAAAAUAGAAAAAAUCAAUUAAAAACAAAAAUUCAUGGAAACUAUUAAUCUAUUAUCGCAUAAUCGUAAGCAGAAUUGUUCAAUUGACGAAUCUAUGAAAAAAUCUAGCUAUUGAAAGUGAAAUUAGUCAGCGAUAAAAAAUAUAUUAAAACAUUGGAAAAAAAAAGCUGAGAAAGAAACUUACGAUUGCGUUGAGGAAGAUGCAAUUGGAAAUGAUCGAUUGGACAUGUGAUGGUUGAUUUGGAGUGAAGAAAAGCCCUAAAAUUGAUGAUGAUGGUAAGAGAAAGCUCGUGGAAGUUUCCAGGUUUUUUCUAGAAUUUUAGGCCCCUAAACAGGUCAAAGUUCUUAGGUUGUUUUUUU
This 386-nucleotide long non-coding RNA is filed under the name Trifolium pratense (red clover). RNAcentral describes it as "long non-coding RNA (TPRA_LNC011679)". Lineage: Eukaryota; Viridiplantae; Streptophyta; Magnoliopsida; Fabales; Fabaceae. The record is from RNAcentral.